Molecule: unclassified non-coding RNA, 1862 nt
Filed under: Hevea brasiliensis (rubber tree)
Lineage: Eukaryota; Viridiplantae; Streptophyta; Magnoliopsida; Malpighiales; Euphorbiaceae
Source: RNAcentral
AAGGGAAGCUAAGCAGUGAAAUAGCUAUGGCGACGAGGCAGAGACGAGCUUUGACGUCGGAUCCUCCGGAGACGGCGUCAUCUCCGGCGUAUACAAAGGUGGAUAAGCCGGAGAGAUCGGACGGUGAAAAUGAAGGCGUCGAUAGAGGACUAGGUUGGCUUCUGCCGUUGCUUUGCCUAGGGAUGUUGAGGCACAUGAGCGCUACGUCAAAUAUUAUUCACGAUUGUGACGAGGUGUUCAAUUACUGGGAGCCUCUUCACUACUUGCUUUACAAGUCUGGUUUCCAAACUUGGGAAUACAGUUCGCAGUUUGCCUUGCGGUCGUAUCUGUAUAUUCUGCUUCACAAACUGGUGGGUUGGCCUGCUGCUUGGUGGUUUGGAGAGGAAAAGGUGAAAGUAUUUUAUGCUGUGAGAAUUUUUCUUGCAGGGCUGUCUGUCAUCAGUGAUGCUGCUCUAGUUGUAGCCCUUUCCCGUAAAUAUGGAAAGCGUCUUGCAUCAUAUGCACUCGCAAUGCUAUGCUUAGCAAGUGGUUGUUUCUUUGCCAGCACGAGUUUCCUUCCGAGUUCAUUCUCAAUGUAUGCCAUGUCUCUUUCUUCAGCACUAUUUCUAUUUAAUAAGCCUGCCAUGGCAGUUUCUGUUGCUGCCACUGGAGUGAUUCUGGGCUGGCCGUUUUCGAUCCUUGCUUUUCUUCCACUGACAAUUUACUCACUGGUUAAAAGCUUCAAACCUGUGUUUCUUACAGGUGUUGUCACUUCUAUCGUCCUUAUGGUACUCUCAGUUCUUGUUGACUACGACUACUAUAAGAAGUGGACAUCCUCUGUUAUCAACUUGCUGGUGUACAAUGUUUUAGGGGGUGGUGAAAGUCAUCUCUAUGGUACUGAAGGGGCAUCAUUUUAUUUGAGGAAUGGCUUUAACAAUUUCAACCUCUGUUUUGUGUUUGCUCUACUGUUCUUAGCAAUACUACCCGUUGCUAAGAAGAAGUAUGCUCCUGAGUUGCUCAUUGUUGUUUCACCUGUCUAUCUCUGGAUCGCCUUUAUGUCCUUACAGCCACACAAAGAAGAAAGAUUUCUGUACCCAAUAUAUCCACUUAUCUGUGUUGCUGCUUCUGCUGUGAUUGAGAGCUUUCCUGAUCUGUUCAGGGAUAAGUACAAUCCCAACGGUACAUCCACUCUAGUUAAGAUAGCGAAAAUUCUCAGACCUCUAGCUCUUGGUUUGAUUCUUUGUGUCUCCCAUGCUCGGACAUUUUCACUUAUUAAUGGUUAUUCAGCUCCUAUUGAGAUAUACAAGCAUUUGGACUACCAUGAUGACGCUGGACCAGGUUCUGUCCUUUGCGUUGGUAGUGAGUGGCACCGGUUCCCUUCUUCCUUCUUCAUUCCUGAUUAUGUGAGCCAAGUUCGAUGGCUGGAUGAUGGAUUCACAGGCCUUCUCCCAAUCCCGUUCAAUUCUAGCUUGGGUGGGACCUCGGCGGCACCAUCUUACUUCAAUAAUAAGAACAAGGCAUCAGAGAGGCAAUAUCUUAAGGAUCCUGAGCAAUGCACAUUGCUGAUAGAGCUGCAACUUCAACGUCCUUAUCCUACGCGAGGGAGUGACAUGUCUACAUGGGAGAUUGUUGCAGCACUUCCAUACCUGGACAGGGAACUAUCACCUCCAUUGCAUCGAUCAUUCUUUAUUCCAAAUCAAUGGCAGCAGAAGAAUGUCUUUGGCCAGUACAGAUUACUCAGGAGAAUACAAAAGUGAUCGCAGAUGUACACGCUGAAUUUUCUGUUGUCCAGCAGCUUUUAACUCUCUCGGUAUAGUACUACGCUAAUGUCGACUAGUUUAGUUUUUGUAGUCUGAAACUGCCUACACUUUCGAGGGUAGCAA